GGAGAUAUAGCUCAACUGGGAGAGCAUCCGCUUGACGUGCGGAAGGUCACAGGUUCGAACCCUGUUAUCUCCAGCA
Molecule: transfer RNA, 76 nt
Filed under: Lachnospiraceae bacterium
Lineage: Bacteria; Bacillati; Bacillota; Clostridia; Lachnospirales; Lachnospiraceae
Description: tRNA-Val
Rfam family: tRNA
About the family: Transfer RNA (tRNA) molecules are approximately 80 nucleotides in length. Their secondary structure includes four short double-helical elements and three loops (D, anti-codon, and T loops). Further hydrogen bonds mediate the characteristic L-shaped molecular structure. tRNAs have two regions of fundamental functional importance: the anti-codon, which is responsible for specific mRNA codon recognition, and the 3' end, to which the tRNAs corresponding amino acid is attached (by aminoacyl-tRNA synthetases). tRNAs cope with the degeneracy of the genetic code in two manners: having more than one tRNA (with a specific anti-codon) for a particular amino acid; and 'wobble' base-pairing, i.e. permitting non-standard base-pairing at the 3rd anti-codon position.
Source: RNAcentral